UCCAGCCAACAUACACCUGCGGAGUGCCUACUGUAUAACAGGAUCCAGGCGUGUAACCAUGGCAAUGAGGGUACCAUCUCUGCUCCCACAGUGCUUAGAGCCUACCACAGGACAGUGAAAUCCAUGGUACUAAGAAGUGCUACAAUAAAGACCAAAGUGGGAUACAGAACAGCUUACAGGGAAAAACAUCAGUCCCCAACAAAGACUUGGGGUCAGGAAAAUCCUGUGCUGAAGCUGGACUGUUCGUGCUUUCCGUCUACUUCAGACAGCCUUGUCUGCCCCACCCGUUCCUUUGUCAUUCAUCUCCCUAAGCACUGUUUGUGCCACAUCUUCCCUUAAAGCAAACGUGGCAAGAUUAUACAGGGAAGUGACUCGGCUUUGGAGAAACCCGGAGCUACCCACUAAACAGCACUGUGGUUAGAAUUUUCUCCUCCAGGAAACACCUAAAGAAAUGUUCAACAUCUUUAGUCAUAAGGGAAAUGCAAAUCAAAACAACCCUGAGAUUUCACCUCACACCAGUGGGAAUGGCUAAGAUCAAAAACUCAGGUGACAGCAGAUGCUGGCGAGGAUGCGGAGAAAGAGGAACACUCCUCUAUUGUUGGUGGGAUUGCAGACUGGUACAACCAUUCUGGAAAUCAGUCUGGAGGUUCCUCAGAAAAUUGGACAUUGAACUGCCUGAGGAUCCAGCCAUACCUCUCUUGGGCAUAUACCCAAAAGAUGCCCCAACAUAUAAAAAAGACACGUGCUCCACUAUGUUCAUCGCAGCCUUAUUUAUAAUAGCCAGAAGCUGGAAAGAACCCAGAUGCCCUUCAACAGAGGAAUGGAUACAGAAAAUGUGGUACAUCUACACAAUGGAAUAUUACUCAGCUAUCAAAAACAACAGCUUUAUGAAAUUCGUAGGCAAAUGGUUGGAACUGGAAAAUAUCAUCCUGAGUGAGGUAACCCAAUCACAGAAAAACACACAUGGCAUGCACUCAUUGAUAAGUGGCUAUUAGCCCAAAUGCUUGAAUUACCCUAGAUGCCUAGAACAAAUGAAACUCAAGACGGAUGAUCAAAAUGUGAAUGCUUCACUCCUUCUUUAAAAGGGAAACAAGAAUACCCUUGGCAGGGAAUAGAGA
Molecule: non-coding RNA, 1118 nt
Organism: Rattus norvegicus (Norway rat)
Lineage: Eukaryota; Metazoa; Chordata; Mammalia; Rodentia; Muridae
Source: RefSeq, a predicted model, not a curated record